This 366-nucleotide unclassified non-coding RNA is filed under the name Hevea brasiliensis (rubber tree). The record is from RNAcentral. Lineage: Eukaryota; Viridiplantae; Streptophyta; Magnoliopsida; Malpighiales; Euphorbiaceae.
GUCACUUUCAAACUCCUAUGGCAACAUGGGUGUUGUUUCCUACGAAUUGAUUGUCACCUCCCCUAUCCCGCCGGCUAAGCUGUAUAAGCCUUUGUCCUUGAUUCCGAUAUUCUCCUACCAAUGAUUGUGCCACAGGCCAUUAAGAGUGUUGAAAUCCUUGAAGGAGAUGGAGGGCCUGGAACCAUAAAAAAAGUUACUUUUGGACAAUGUAGCCAAUUCAAGUACUCGAAGCAUAAGAUUGAAGCGAUUGAUAAAGAGAACUUAAAAUUCAGCCAUAGCGUGAUUGAAGGCGACAUGUUAGUGAUUGAAAAAAUAACUUACGAUAUCAAGUUUGAGCAAUCCCCUGAUGGAGGAUGCAUCUGCAAG